CCUACGGGAGGCAGCAGUAAGGAAUCUUCCACAAUGGACGAAAGUCUGAUGGAGCAACGCCGCGUGCAGGAUGAAGGCUUUCGGGUCGUAAACUGCUUUUAUAUGGGAAGAUUAUGACGGUACCAUAUGAAUAAGGACCGGCUAACUACGUGCCAGCAGCCGCGGUAAUACGUAGGGUCCAAGCGAUAUCCGGAAUUACUGGGCGUAAAGCGUGUGUAGGUGGAUUAAUAAGUGUGAUGCGAAAUCCGGCGGCUCAACCGUUUGGACUGUGUCGCAUACUGUUAGUCUAGAGGACGGCAGAGGUAAGUGGAAUUACGGGUGUAGCAGUGAAAUGCGUAGAUAUCCGUAGGAACACCAAUGGCGAAGGCAGCUUACUGGGCCACACCUGACACUGAGACACGAAAGCGUGGGGAGCGAACAGGAUUAGAUACCCUGGUAGUCCACGCCGUAAACGAUGCAUACUAUUAGUAUGGGGUAUCGACCCCCUGUGCUGAGAAGCUAACGCGAUAAGUAUGCCGCCUGGGGAGUACGAGCGCAAGCUUAAAACUCAAAGAUAGUAGCGUGNGAGAGCGACGACGACGACGACGGAGGAGGAG
Molecule: ribosomal RNA, 596 nt
Filed under: uncultured bacterium
Lineage: Bacteria
Description: bacterial SSU rRNA
Rfam family: Bacterial small subunit ribosomal RNA
Source: RNAcentral